UUGUGGCUGCACCGUGCCAAGUACGAAGAGGCGGUGCAUUGCGUUCAUCACGG
This 53-nucleotide non-coding RNA is filed under the name Kryptoperidinium triquetrum. Lineage: Eukaryota; Dinophyceae; Peridiniales; Kryptoperidiniaceae. The record is from RNAcentral.